Molecule: transfer RNA, 84 nt
Rfam family: tRNA
About the family: Transfer RNA (tRNA) molecules are approximately 80 nucleotides in length. Their secondary structure includes four short double-helical elements and three loops (D, anti-codon, and T loops).
Source: Rfam
GGGCGAUUGGUUUAGUGGUAUAAUGACCGCUUAGCAUGGUUCAUGACUUGCGGUAGGUCCUGGGUUCGAUUCCCAGAUCGUCCA